UACAGGGGGUGCAAACGUUGCUCGGAAUCAUUGGGCGUAAAGCGCACGUAGGCGGUCUGUUAUGUCGGAUGUGAAAGCCCUUGGCUUAACUGAGGAAGUGCAUCCGAAACUGGCAGGCUAGAGUACUAAAGAGGGUCGCGGAAUUCCCGGUGUAGAGGUGAAAUUCGUAGAUAUCGGGAGGAACACCGGUGGCGAAGGCGGCGACCUGGGUCGAUACUGACGCUGAUGCGCGAAAGCGUGGGGAGCAAACAGG
RNAcentral lists this ribosomal RNA (253 nucleotides) under uncultured bacterium. RNAcentral's name for it is "partial 16S ribosomal RNA". It matches the Rfam family "Bacterial small subunit ribosomal RNA", at positions 524 to 776 of the family's 1533-position model. The record is from RNAcentral.